This 588-nucleotide ribosomal RNA is filed under the name fungal sp. 54858. RNAcentral's name for it is "eukaryotic LSU rRNA". The stretch from base 222 to 375 matches the Rfam family "5.8S ribosomal RNA". Lineage: Eukaryota; Fungi. The record is from RNAcentral.
GGUUUCCGUAGGUGAACCUGCGGAAGGAUCAUUACCGAGUGCGGGUCCUUUGGGCCCAACCUCCCAUCCCCUUCCUAUUAUACCCUGUUGCUUCGGCGGGCCCGCCGCUUGUCGGCCGCCGGGGGGGCGCCUUUGCCCCCCGGGCCCGUGCCCGCCGGAGACCCCAACACGAACACUGUCUGAAAGCGUGCAGUCUGAGUUGAUUGAAUGCAAUCAGUUAAAACUUUCAACAAUGGAUCUCUUGGUUCCGGCAUCGAUGAAGAACGCAGCGAAAUGCGAUAACUAAUGUGAAUUGCAGAAUUCAGUGAAUCAUCGAGUCUUUGAACGCACAUUGCGCCCCCUGGUAUUCCGGGGGGCAUGCCUGUCCGAGCGUCAUUGCUGCCCUCAAGCCCGGCUUGUGUGUUGGGUCGCCGUCCCCCUCUCCGGGGGGACGGGCCCGAAAGGCAGCGGCGGCACCGCGUCCGAUCCUCGAGCGUAUGGGGCUUUGUCACAUGCUCUGUAGGAUUGGCCGGCGCCUGCCGACGUUUUCCAACCAUUCUUUCCAGGUUGACCUCGGAUCAGGUAGGGAUACCCGCUGAACUUAAGCAU